UGUGGACGGAAGCAACAGCAUCGACGGUACAACAUUGCGUGAGGGUCCCUCGUCAAACAGCAAACACAUCUACACCACCAGGGUAGCUGAGCGAAGUCUACGUCGAUCGGGCCGUCUAGCUAGUGCCAACCAGAAGAAGAGGAAGAAUUAAGCGAAACGAGUAGGGAUUGUACGCAGUGCGAUUUGCAGAACGCCACCUUUUUUGUUUAAAACGACUUAAACAUAACAAUUAGUAGUUUUAAAACAUUGCGCUGAACGAUACUCCGUGUACGACCGAAGCGAGUGGUUCUAGACCGUGGUCGCGAGAACCACACAGCUACUUCGGUUCCGAGCAGAACCUGGCAAGUGUCCAAACGGCCAAGGAGGCCAAAAAGAUCCCCAGAACACGCGUAAGCAAUUAGGCUGGGCAAAACUGGUCGUCACCGAACAUCGUUGUCGUGUUUAAUGAUCAAUCGGAUUGAGGGAAAACUAAUUGUAAGUCUACAGAACAUCUACUGAUAGCAAUGAACUUAAUAAAACGAAUUAUUUCAGCUUUAAGCUGCGCUACACAAAACAGCUGCUGCAAAGAGUUUCACCCAAAUCAACAUUAUCAAAGAAUUACGUGAGUUCUCGUGAACAGACAAAGCACACGAUGGCGACCUUUCCGCAGGAGAUGAUACUUCGACCGUGCAAGAUCUGCCAACAGGACGGUCGACCGGACAAUAUGAUGCUCUGCUUCAGCUGUAAAGGAUGGUUUCAUCCGCGCUGCUUGGGUCCCGGAGAGAAGCUAUUCAUUGGAAGCUGGACGUGCGCAGCCUGUGUGGCUGCGGCAGAACUCCUGCAAGUGAAUCAACCACUAUCGCACCGAACACAGUACAAACUGAAACCUCAGCUACUGCAACAAAGGCGCCGGCUGGGUCGAUUCUCACCGAGAAGGCCAAAGUGGAUUUACUGUGGAUAGCAGAGCAAAGGGAGUACGUUCUCCGUGAAGUUGAAAGACAACGGCUGGAACUAGAUCA
Culex quinquefasciatus (southern house mosquito) is the source of this 998-nucleotide long non-coding RNA. RefSeq lists it as uncharacterized. The record is from RefSeq and is a predicted model, not a curated record. The transcript has 3 exons. Lineage: Eukaryota; Metazoa; Arthropoda; Insecta; Diptera; Culicidae.